AACAAAACAUCAUGUAAUCAUACAUUGGGCACAAAACUCACAUAAACCCUAUCAUGCAUAUCUACCCAAACACAUACAUCAAAUCUCCUUAAAACUUACUUAAAACUCAUUAAAACAUAAAGAAAAGCAGAGAUCUACACUAACCUCUUGGAGAUCAAGGGUUGGUGUGACCCGAACCUUGGAGAUGUGGAGGAAACUAGCUCCGGGGUCUCCAAGCUCCAAAUCCUAGAUCCAAGCUUAAAACUCUUCAAAACCAAGGAUAAAACUCA
RNAcentral lists this long non-coding RNA (269 nucleotides) under Manihot esculenta (cassava). Its description in RNAcentral is "long non-coding RNA (MESC_LNC003008)". Lineage: Eukaryota; Viridiplantae; Streptophyta; Magnoliopsida; Malpighiales; Euphorbiaceae. The record is from RNAcentral.